UGCCUCUAUGGUGUGGCAGCUGAUAAUAUAAUGGAGGUGCAUACGCCCGGAGCAGGUGCUCUAGCUAACUCUCCGUCUCUCAAUUCUUGUUCUCGCACAAUUUCAGUGAGAGAGAGUGAGACACGCAUUCUUAUUCGAAAGCAAAUUUUGGAGAAAAAGUGAACAAGAGACGGGGGUGGAUAUC
Molecule: non-coding RNA, 184 nt
Organism: Caenorhabditis elegans
Lineage: Eukaryota; Metazoa; Nematoda; Chromadorea; Rhabditida; Rhabditidae
Source: Ensembl